This is a long non-coding RNA of Drosophila novamexicana, 711 nucleotides long. RefSeq lists it as uncharacterized. The transcript is spliced from 2 exons. The record is from RefSeq and is a predicted model, not a curated record. NCBI's taxonomy places the organism in Eukaryota, Metazoa, Arthropoda, Insecta, Diptera, Drosophilidae.
AUAGAAUCUUGAAAAACUAUUGGAUUUAAUGUGCUAAUGUAAUAAAAUUUUGAUGGCUUUCAUAUCGCAUUUCAUCAAAACAUGACUAUGCAAUAAAACUUUAAUAAUAUUGAAUAUAUUGGAGUAUGCGUUCUUAUAGUCUUUUGAGAUGGAUGGAGACAAGGAUUGACUUCUGCCUGCACAAAUCCAUAAUACCCUUUCUUAAUCAACAUACCAUACGAACAGGGUAUAACAAGAACAGCACAGGCAGUCAGUGGCCUGACUCGCAUUCAGAACUCGACUUGUUUGGGGAAUUUCGCUGCCGGUGCCGUUGCUGCUGCUGCUGCUGUUGGUGGCGCUUCUCAAAAGGCAGGCAAAAGGAAUUUUUUCAUACGCAAAUUAAAUCUACAUCCCGUAGCACUUGGUCUCAGCUAUGUGCCACGCCCACAUAGACAGUGGAAGACGCAUGCCUUGGCAAAUAUUCAUUACAUAAUAAUAAACUAAACUCGGCACAGCCAAAAUCAAAUUGCACAAAAAAACAAAUGUUAGCAAUGCGUGGCAUGCCACAAGCAGCGGGGCGGUGCAGCGCCCCAAUAUAUUUUAUUUUAUUUAUGUCUGUGUGUGUGUGUAAAUGUGUGUGUUUGUGGCAAAUCAAUGACAUGUAAAAACUCUAAUUAAACGCACGUUUCUGGCGCGGUACAUUUCCGCACAUAGCAGGCCAUAAAAUGGAAA